Molecule: long non-coding RNA, 597 nt
Organism: Zingiber officinale
Lineage: Eukaryota; Viridiplantae; Streptophyta; Magnoliopsida; Zingiberales; Zingiberaceae
Exons: 4
Source: RefSeq, a predicted model, not a curated record
AGAAGCUACAGUGCUAGCCAUAAAUCGCCGUUUUCCCUUAUUCCUCUGAACCUUCUGCCUUCGUCGAUUUCCUCACCCUUUCCUCCCGAUCUUGCCGACGGAACCCAGCUCCGAUGCACGGUCGCGUCUGAUCGCCGGCUCCUUGUAGCGAGACGAGCCUCCGACUUCCUCGACAUCUCCAUAAAGGUCUCACCGGCGGUGUCCUUCCUCAAACACGCCGCUUUGCCUGGGAAUCUCCGGUCAGGUGGCGAGAUCUGGGUCCUGUGGAGUCGGGAGUCGAGUAGUUUGUUCUAGAGCUCAUCGUGGUUGAGGACUGCGCUCCCAGCGGUGGUUUAUCCACCCGAGCUCUAAGGCUGAGGUUCUCCGUCAAGAUUCCUUCGUCGACUGUGAGGAAUUUCGUCAUUGAGUGGCUUGCUCUGAGGGGCUCGACCACAACUCUCAGCAGCUGUUCUUCACCCGGGAAACAUCAGGUUUGAUAACGAAUCCUACGUUGAGAGUGGGGAUCAGAUCUGAGAUUGUGGGAGGUGAUUAAGGACUUAGAUCGGCACGAGCGUCGGGACGAGAUUGACGUUGGAUUCAGCCUACAUUUGAGGCGGG